UACGGAGGAUCCAAGCGUUACUCGGAAUUACUGGGCGUAAAGCGUGCGUAGGUGGUUUUUUAAGUCCGUUGUGAAAGCCCAGGGCUCAACUCUGGGUCGGCCACGGAUACUCCGGGGCUGGAGCACACUAGAGGCGGAUGGAAUUCCGGGUGUAGCGGUGGAAUGCGUAGAGAUCCGGAAGAACACCGGUGGCGAAGGCGGUCCGCUGGGGUGUUGCUGACGCUGAGGCGCGACAGCGUGGGGAGCAAACAGG
RNAcentral lists this ribosomal RNA (253 nucleotides) under uncultured bacterium. RNAcentral's name for it is "partial 16S ribosomal RNA". It matches the Rfam family "Bacterial small subunit ribosomal RNA", at positions 524 to 776 of the family's 1533-position model. The record is from RNAcentral.